This 173-nucleotide small nucleolar RNA is filed under the name Nannospalax galili (Upper Galilee mountains blind mole rat). RNAcentral's name for it is "Small nucleolar RNA SNORA73 family (ENSNGAG00000006461.1)". Lineage: Eukaryota; Metazoa; Chordata; Mammalia; Rodentia; Spalacidae. The record is from RNAcentral.
CCAGGUCAUCCUUCCCAGGCUCUGCCCAGGCGCUUAGGACACACAGGCUCCACCUCAUGACAGAGAGUCAUUUUCCACAGUGUUGGAGAUGAAACUGGAUGGCCAGCCUAUGCCUGAAAUUCCUAAGUUCUGUGGACAAUGACUUGAGUUGAUAAAUCAUGCAGGAAACAACC